ACUAUGCACAUCGGCCAAAUCAAACCAUCUAUUACUUCGGUAUUAGAAAACUAACGGGUAACUCACGUGAGAGACCACAUGAGAAUAAAAAUUAGCAAACGUCGAGGGAGAGAGAAAGCUAGCUUUAGAGAGAGAGAGAGAGAGAGAGAGACAAUCAAACAAGAAUUCCAGAACCACCAUCGUCAACCUUCUCUCCUGUGCUGGAAUCUUUGUCCCGCAGUCGUCUUGCCAUUGGGUUUUAUGAUGGGAAGGAAACAAUGGAAAUGAAAGUUUCUUCUUCCAAUUAUUUGAAGUUGAUAAUGUUGCCAUUCCUAAACAAGAGAUCUAUUAUUAUUUUUCUUUGUCCUUUUUUUUUCCUUCUUAAUUUAAACCAAAAAAAAAAGAAGUUAGCUGAGUACCUCAUGCAGUGCCAUGCUAUCCCUAUUAAAGUUUGCAAUGCAGUGGAUAAGCUGAUUAGGGACUUCCUUUAGGGAUCAAUCCUCUGAUGAAAAAAGAAGGUUUCAUAUGGUCAAUUGGCUUCACAUGGGAGGACUAGCCCAAAUGAAAUUCAGGAAUCAAGCUAUUCUAGCUAAGUUGUGUUGGAGGCUGGCUAAUGAACAAGAUGCUCCUUGGGCUAAUUUGCUGGCUAAGAAAGAUCUGUCUGCUUCGAGAUUGACUGAAGAAGGAAAAAAGCACCCAUGCUCAAGGAUUUGGGCUGCUUGCAAGAAAGGAGGUCCAGUGUAUGUUAAAGGGUUGAUGAUCUAUGAACAAUGGUAGUUCUAUCAAAUUCUGGCAAGAUUUCUGGCUUUCCUUGGGACCCAUGAGAAAUCUUAUUGAAGGUCCUCUCUCAAGAGAUGAGGAACAACUCACAGUGCAACAAUGCUUUGAUAUGAGCAUUGGUUAGAAUUUACAAAACAUGUCUUUCUACUUACCGGAUCAUAUUAUUAAUUCAAUUCAUGCCACCCCUUUCUCUUGUGACCAGACUACAAAGCAUUCGUUAGCCUGGGCUUUUUCGAAAGAUGGCAGCUUCGCUCUCCAAUCAUCUUACUUAUUGGCAAGAGAUUCGAACCUAUUUCACUUGGAGUCUUGAUGAAGAUACUGACUAAUUUUUUUGUUUCUACUUACCGGAUCAUAAUUUUUUUGUCUUGAUAAAGAUAACAACUAUUUGUAAACACUCAUUAAUAUUUCAAUUUAUGGCAGAUUGGGACUCAUUCAUUUUUUGUGUA
Molecule: long non-coding RNA, 1205 nt
Organism: Quercus robur (English oak)
Lineage: Eukaryota; Viridiplantae; Streptophyta; Magnoliopsida; Fagales; Fagaceae
Exons: 2
Source: RefSeq, a predicted model, not a curated record